Bombus pascuorum is the source of this 739-nucleotide long non-coding RNA. RefSeq lists it as uncharacterized. The record is from RefSeq and is a predicted model, not a curated record. The transcript has 2 exons. Lineage: Eukaryota; Metazoa; Arthropoda; Insecta; Hymenoptera; Apidae.
AAAUUUAAUAAUAAAAUAACUUAUAUCUUACAAAUGAAUUUUACAGAUUAUCAGUCAUUUUAUUAUUCUAUGCGACGAAACUGCAAAAUUAUAGAAGAAAAAUCUAUAAUCUAUAAAUUCUAACUGAUCAGUUUACUAAUAUUAUUCAAUAAAAUAUCGUGAAAUCAUCGACCAUAGUCAAAAUUGAGGUUCCCCUUACAAUUAUGCUGAUUCUAUACAAUUUCCUUGUUAUUGUACUUGUUACUAUCAAAUAUUAUACUGUUAAAUUCUUUCUAUUUUGUUUGUAUCGUUUUGUUGCAGAAUUGUUUGUAUAAUUCUGAUAAUUGAUUUCAUUAAUUACAUAGGAAGGAGAGACAGGAGGAAAGACAGAAGUUAGGGUUACGAGAGUGUAGAAACACGUUUGAAAGGAAAGUAAAAGUAAAAAUUAUAAGUACCAUGGACAACGAACGACCUCGAAUGCCCGAAAUUUCUGGCCUCUAUACUAUCGCGAUACGGUUCUCAGGAGCGUUCUUGUUGGUCAUGAAAACAAGAUUUCCUUGUCUUCCACCUUCGCUUUGGAAGAAAGAACGCGUAUGGUACCUUCGAGUUGGAUGAAACAUUGUAGGCUCGAAGAACAUCCAGCCAAAAAUAUUAGAUACGUAUCUUUUGUUUUCUGUUUUCUAGCUGCAGUAACUCAAGUUUAAAGGGUAAAACCACCCUUCAAAUUUCGACCCUUUGAAAGCCAACUCGGAAAAAGUUA